UACGGAGGGGGUUAGCGUUGUUCGGAAUUACUGGGCGUAAAGCGCACGUAGGCGGAUCAGAAAGUUGGGGGUGAAAUCCCGGGGCUCAACCCCGGAACUGCCUCCAAAACUCCUGUCUUGAGUUCGAGAGAGGUGAGUGGAAUUCCGAGUGUAGAGGUGAAAUUCGUAGAUAUUCGGAGGAACACCAGUGGCGAAGGCGGCUCACUGGCUCGAUACUGACGCUGAGGUGCGAAAGUGUGGGGAGUAACAAGAUGAUGAUACCGGUACC
Molecule: ribosomal RNA, 268 nt
Filed under: uncultured bacterium
Lineage: Bacteria
Description: partial 16S ribosomal RNA
Rfam family: Bacterial small subunit ribosomal RNA
Source: RNAcentral